Molecule: transfer RNA, 74 nt
Filed under: Stegodyphus mimosarum
Lineage: Eukaryota; Metazoa; Arthropoda; Arachnida; Araneae; Eresidae
Rfam family: tRNA
About the family: Transfer RNA (tRNA) molecules are approximately 80 nucleotides in length.
Source: Rfam by way of RNAcentral
ACCUUCGUGGUGUAAAUAGAAAGCACGUCCGGCUAGCAAUCGGAAAGACCAGAGUUCAAGUCUCGGCAUGGGCA